CGUUCUGUAAGCCUGCGAAGGUGUGCUGUGAGGCAUGCUGGAGGUAUCAGAAGUGCGAAUGCUGACAUAAGUAACGAUAAAGCGGGUGAAAAGCCCGCUCGCCGGAAGACCAAGGGUUCCUGUCCAACGUUAAUCGGGGCAGGGUGAGUCGACCCCUAAGGCGAGGCCGAAAGGCGUAGUCGAUGGGAAACAGGUUAAUAUUCCUGUACUUGGUGUUACUGCGAAGGGGGGACGGAGAAGGCUAUGUUGGCCGGGCGACGGUUGUCCCGGUUUAAGCGUGUAGGCUGGUUUUCCAGGCAAAUCCGGAAAAUCAAGGCUGAGGCGUGAUGACGAGGCACUACGGUGCUGAAGCAACAAAUGCCCUGCUUCCAGGAAAAGCCUCUAAGCAUCAGGUAACAUCAAAUCGUACCCCAAACCGACACAGGUGGUCAGGUAGAGAAUACCAAGGCGCUUGAGAGAACUCGGGUGAAGGAACUAGGCAAAAUGGUGCCGUAACUUCGGGAGAAGGCACGCUGAUAUGUAGGUGAAGUCCCUCGCGGAUGGAGCUGAAAUCAGUCGAAGAUACCAGCUGGCUGCAACUGUUUAUUAAAAACACAGCACUGUGCAAACACGAAAGUGGACGUAUACGGUGUGACGCCUGCCCGGUGCCGGAAGGUUAAUUGAUGGGGUUAGCGCAAGCGAAGCUCUUGAUCGAAGCCCCGGUAAACGGCGGCCGUAACUAUAACGGUCCUAAGGUAGCGAAAUUCCUUGUCGGGUAAGUUCCGACCUGCACGAAUGGCGUAAUGAUGGCCAGGCUGUCUCCACCCGAGACUCAGUGAAAUUGAACUCGCUGUGAAGAUGCAGUGUACCCGCGGCAAGACGGAAAGACCCCGUGAACCUUUACUAUAGCUUGACACUGAACAUUGAGCCUUGAUGUGUAGGAUAGGUGGGAGGCUUUGAAGUGUGGACGCCAGUCUGCAUGGAGCCGACCUUGAAAUACCACCCUUUAAUGUUUGAUGUUCUAACGUGGACCCGUAAUCCGGGUUGCGGACAGUGUCUGGUGGGUAGUUUGACUGGGGCGGUCUCCUCCUAAAGAGUAACGGAGGAGCACGAAGGUUGGCUAAUCCUGGUCGGACAUCAGGAGGUUAGUGCAAUGGCAUAAGCCAGCUUGACUGCGAGCGUGACGGCGCGAGCAGGUGCGAAAGCAGGUCAUAGUGAUCCGGUGGUUCUGAAUGGAAGGGCCAUCGCUCAACGGAUAAAAGGUACUCCGGGGAUAACAGGCUGAUACCGCCCAAGAGUUCAUAUCGACGGCGGUGUUUGGC
Molecule: ribosomal RNA, 1301 nt
Filed under: Escherichia coli
Lineage: Bacteria; Pseudomonadati; Pseudomonadota; Gammaproteobacteria; Enterobacterales; Enterobacteriaceae
Description: partial 23S ribosomal RNA
Rfam family: Bacterial large subunit ribosomal RNA
Source: RNAcentral